GAUGAACGCUAGCGGCAGGCCUAAUACAUGCAAGUCGAGGGGUAUGGGUUGCUUGCCACCCAGAGACCGGCGCACGGGUGCGUAACGCGUAUGCAAUCUACCUUAAUCAGGGGGAUAGCCCGGAGAAAUCCGGAUUAACACCGCAUAACAUUGAGUUGUGGCAUCACAGUUCAAUCAAAUAUUUAUAGGAUUAAGAUGAGCAUGCGUGACAUUAGUUAGUUGGUGAGGUAACGGCUCACCAAGACCACGAUGUCUAGGGGAUCUGAGAGGAUGACCCCCCACACUGGUACUGAGACACGGACCAGACUCCUACGGGAGGCAGCAGUAAGGAAUAUUGGGCAAUGGGCGCAAGCCUGAACCAGCCAUGCCGCGUGCAGGAAGACGGCCCUAUGGGUUGUAAACUGCUUUUGUACCGGAAUAAACCUUCUCUUGCGAGAGAAGCUGAACGUACGGUAAGAAUAAGGAUCGGCUAACUCCGUG
This 480-nucleotide ribosomal RNA is filed under the name uncultured bacterium. Its description in RNAcentral is "partial 16S ribosomal RNA". It matches the Rfam family "Bacterial small subunit ribosomal RNA", at positions 28 to 507 of the family's 1533-position model. The record is from RNAcentral.